GAUGAACGCUGGCGGCGUGCCUAAUACAUGCAAGUCGAGCGGACGGACGAGAAGCUUGCUUCUCUGAUGUUAGCGGCGGACGGGUGAGUAACACGUGGAUAACCUACCUAUAAGACUGGGAUAACUUCGGGAAACCGGAGCUAAUACCGGAUAAUAUUUUGAACCGCAUGGUUCAAAAGUAAAAGACGGUCUUGCUGUCACUUAUAGAUGGAUCCGCGCUGCAUUAGCUAGUUGGUAAGGUAACGGCUUACCAAGGCAACGAUGCAUAGCCGACCUGAGAGGGUGAUCGGCCACACUGGAACUGAGACACGGUCCAGACUCCUACGGGAGGCAGCAGUAGGGAAUCUUCCGCAAUGGGCGAAAGCCUGACGGAGCAACGCCGCGUGAGUGAUGAAGGUCUUCGGAUCGUAAAACUCUGUUAUUAGGGAAGAACAUAUGUGUAAGUAACUGUGCACAUCUUGACGGUACCUAAUCAGAAAGCCACGGCUAACUACG
This 495-nucleotide ribosomal RNA is filed under the name uncultured bacterium. RNAcentral's name for it is "partial 16S ribosomal RNA". It matches the Rfam family "Bacterial small subunit ribosomal RNA", at positions 28 to 505 of the family's 1533-position model. The record is from RNAcentral.